Molecule: non-coding RNA, 96 nt
Organism: Podarcis lilfordi (Lilford's wall lizard)
Lineage: Eukaryota; Metazoa; Chordata; Lepidosauria; Squamata; Lacertidae
Source: the annotation of a GenBank genome assembly
UCUCCAGCUGUUUUUGGACUACAGUUCCCAUCAUCCCUAGCUAAUGGGGCCAGUGGUCAGGGAUGAUGGGAGUUGUAGUCCAAAAACAGCUGGAGA